GAUCCUGGCUCAGGAUGAACGCUAGCCACAGGCUUAACACAUGCAAGUCGAGGGGGCGAGCAUGGUCUUAGCUUGCUAAGGCCGAUGGCGACCGGCGCACGGGUGAGUAACACGUAUCCAACCUGCCGUCUACUCUUGGACAGCCUUCUGAAAGGAAGAUUAAUACAAGAUGGCAUCAUGAGUCCGCAUGUUCACAUGAUUAAAGGUAUUCCGGUAGACGAUGGGG
This 226-nucleotide ribosomal RNA is filed under the name uncultured bacterium. RNAcentral's name for it is "partial 16S ribosomal RNA". It matches the Rfam family "Bacterial small subunit ribosomal RNA", at positions 15 to 230 of the family's 1533-position model. The record is from RNAcentral.